AGAGUUUGAUCAUGGCUCAGAUUGAACGCUAGCGGGAUGCCUUACACAUGCAAGUCGAACGGCAGCGCGGACUUCGGUCUGGCGGCGAGUGGCGAACGGGUGAGUAAUGUAUCGGAACGUGCCCAGUAGCGGGGGACAACCACUCGAAAGAGUGGCUAAUACCGCAUACGCCCUACGGGGAAAGGGGGGAUCGCAAGACCUCUCACUAUUGGAGCGGCCGAUAUCGGAUUAGCUAGUUGGUGGGGUAAAGGCCUACCAAGGCGACGAUCCGUAGCUGGUUUGAGAGGACGACCAGCCACACUGGGACUGAGACACGGCCCAGACUCCUACGGGAGGCAGCAGUGGGGAAUUUUGGACAAUGGAGGAAACCCUGAUCCAGCCAUUCCGCGUGUGCGAUGAAGGCCUUCGGGUUGUAAAGCACUUUUGGCAGGAAAGAAAUCGUGUGGGUUAAUACCCUGCGCGGAUGACGGUACCUGCAGAAUAAGCACCGGCUAACUACGUG
This 502-nucleotide ribosomal RNA is filed under the name uncultured bacterium. RNAcentral's name for it is "bacterial SSU rRNA". It matches the Rfam family "Bacterial small subunit ribosomal RNA", at positions 8 to 507 of the family's 1533-position model. The record is from RNAcentral.